This 55-nucleotide ribosomal RNA is filed under the name Amanita virgineoides. RNAcentral's name for it is "partial 18S ribosomal RNA". It matches the Rfam family "Eukaryotic small subunit ribosomal RNA", at positions 1775 to 1831 of the family's 1831-position model. The record is from RNAcentral. Lineage: Eukaryota; Fungi; Basidiomycota; Agaricomycetes; Agaricales; Amanitaceae.
GGAAUUCGAUUGUCGUAACAAGGUUUCCGUAGGUGAACCUGCGGAAGGAUCAUUA